AUGGUCGAAGGGUCGUUCGCAGACAUCGCUAACCUCAAGUUCCUCCUCCUCUGCUUCCAACAGAUGCCUGGCCUCAAGAUCAACUUCCACAAGAGUGAUGUGACAGUGAUGGGCUACUCUCCGGUUGAGGCCCGUAACAUUGCCAACCGCCUGAACUGCCGCCUUGGGUCCCUUCCCACCACCUACCUGGGAACACCCAUUAGUGACUCUCGGCUUACUAUUGCUGACUUGCAUCCAACUGUUGCCAAAUUGCAGACGUGCAUUGAACCUUGGCAGGGUCGGUGGUUGUCUAAGGCGGCCCGGAUGAUUCUCAUCAAAUCUUCGCUCUCUAGUCUCCUCUUGUUCCUCAUGAGCUUCUACAGCCUUCACGAGACCCUUCACCAUGAGAUCGCCAAAGUCCAAUCCCGCUUCUAUUGGGUCGGCGACAAUAACAAGCCGAAAUACCAUAUGGUUAGCUGGCCCGACAUCUGUAAGCCUCGGGAGCAAGGUGGCCUCGGUAUCAUGUGCUCGAAGCGCAUGAACAUCGCGCUCCUCUCCCGCUGGCUUUGGCGCAUCUCGCAAGGUCAUGGUGGGCUUUGGCUAGACAUCAUCCGGAAUAAAUACCUGCGUGGCCAACCGCUGGCCUUUUGUCAGCGGUCUGGGGGUUCUCAAUUUUGGCAGUCGGUCAUUCAGUUGCUCCCCGUCCUCUGUAUUGGGACCUCCAUGGCGGUCGGAUCGGGAUCUGCGACCAUGUUCUGGUUUGACUGCUGGGCAGGCGACUCCCCUUUCGUAGCUUGGUUCCCCGAUCUCUUCUCCAUCGUUGUCAUCCCGACGAUCUCCGUCGAACGGGCCCUUAUUGACUUAGGGCGUCUCGCAUUCCGGAGACCAUUUGGGCUCCGGAAGCUGCCGCUUGGCAGGAACUUCUAG
This 906-nucleotide ribosomal RNA is filed under the name Triticum aestivum (bread wheat). Its description in RNAcentral is "partial small subunit ribosomal RNA". Lineage: Eukaryota; Viridiplantae; Streptophyta; Magnoliopsida; Poales; Poaceae. The record is from RNAcentral.